AUCAAAAAUCAACGUUAGACAGUUAAGAUAUGUGAUAGAAGAUAAUUA
This 48-nucleotide non-coding RNA is filed under the name Trypanosoma brucei brucei. The record is from RNAcentral. Lineage: Eukaryota; Euglenozoa; Kinetoplastea; Trypanosomatida; Trypanosomatidae.